CCUACGGGAGGCAGCAGUGGGGAAUUUUGGACAAUGGGCGCAAGCCUGAUCCAGCAAUGCCGCGUGAGUGAAGAAGGCCUUCGGGUUGUAAAGCUCUUUUGUCAGGGAAGAAACGGCUGAGGCUAAUAUCCUCGGCUAAUGACGGUACCUGAAGAAUAAGCACCGGCUAACUACGUGCCAGCAGCCGCGGUAAUACGUAGGGUGCAAGCGUUAAUCGGAAUUACUGGGCGUAAAGCGUGCGCAGGCGGUUUUGUAAGUCUGUCGUGAAAGCCCCGGGCUUAACCUGGGAAUUGCGAUGGAGACUGCAAGGCUUGAAUCUGGCAGAGGGGGGUAGAAUUCCACGUGUAGCAGUGAAAUGCGUAGAGAUGUGGAGGAACACCGAUGGCGAAGGCAGCCCCCUGGGUCAAGAUUGACGCUCAUGCACGAAAGCGUGGGGAGCAAACAGGAUUAGAUACCCUGGUAGUCCACGCCCUAAACGAUGUCUACUAGUUGUCGGGUCUUAAUUGACUUGGUAACGCAGCUAACGCGUGAAGUAGACCGCCUGGGGNGGUACGGUCGCGAGAAGUUAAACGUUAAAGUAAGUUAGUACGGCGUGAGACGUAGACCGACGGACGACGACGAGGGAGGAGG
This 630-nucleotide ribosomal RNA is filed under the name uncultured bacterium. RNAcentral's name for it is "bacterial SSU rRNA". The stretch from base 1 to 542 matches the Rfam family "Bacterial small subunit ribosomal RNA", at positions 338 to 873 of the family's 1533-position model. The record is from RNAcentral.